GGGGGAUUAGUGGCGAACGGGUGAGUAACACGUGAGUAACCUGCCCUUGACUCUGGGAUAAGCCUGGGAAACUGGGUCUAAUACCGGAUACGACCAUCUGGCGCAUGUCAUGGUGGUGGAAAGCUUUUGUGGUUUUGGAUGGACUCGCGGCCUAUCAGCUUGUUGGUGGGGUAAUGGCCUACCAAGGCGACGACGGGUAGCCGGCCUGAGAGGGUGACCGGCCACACUGGGACUGAGACACGGCCCAGACUCCUACGGGAGGCAGCAGUGGGGAAUAUUGCACAAUGGGCGCAAGCCUGAUGCAGCGACGCCGCGUGAGGGAUGACGGCCUUCGGGUUGUAAACCUCUUUCAGUAGGGAAGAAGCGAAAGUGACGGUACCUGCAGAAGAAGCGCCGGCUAACUACGUGCCAGCAGCCGCGGUAAUACGUAGGGCGCAAGCGUUAUCCGGAAUUAUUGGGCGUAAAGAGCUCGUAGGCGGUUUGUCGCGUCUGCUGUGAAAGACCGGGGCUCAACUCCGGUUCUGCAGUGGGUACGGGCAGACUAGAGUGCAGUAGGGGAGACUGGAAUUCCUGGUGUAGCGGUGAAAUGCGCAGAUAUCAGGAGGAACACCGAUGGCGAAGGCAGGUCUCUGGGCUGUAACUGACGCUGAGGAGCGAAAGCAUGGGGAGCGAACAGGAUUAGAUACCCUGGUAGUCCAUGCCGUAAACGUUGGGCACUAGGUGUGGGGGACAUUCCACGUUUUCCGCGCCGUAGCUAACGCAUUAAGUGCCCCGCCUGGGGAGUACGGCCGCAAGGCUAAAACUCAAAGGAAUUGACGGGGGCCCGCACAAGCGGCGGAGCAUGCGGAUUAAUUCGAUGCAACGCGAAGAACCUUACCAAGGCUUGACAUGAACCGGAAAGACCUGGAAACAGGUGCCCCGCUUGCGGUCGGUUUACAGGUGGUGCAUGGUUGUCGUCAGCUCGUGUCGUGAGAUGUUGGGUUAAGUCCCGCAACGAGCGCAACCCUCGUUCUAUGUUGCCAGCGCGUUAUGGCGGGGACUCAUAGGAGACUGCCGGGGUCAACUCGGAGGAAGGUGGGGACGACGUCAAAUCAUCAUGCCCCUUAUGUCUUGGGCUUCACGCAUGCUACAAUGGCCGGUACAAAGGGUUGCGAUACUGUGAGGUGGAGCUAAUCCCAAAAAGCCGGUCUCAGUUCGGAUUGGGGUCUGCAACUCGACCCCAUGAAGUCGGAGUCGCUAGUAAUCGCAGAUCAGCAACGCUGCGGUGAAUACGUUCCCGGGCCUUGUACACACCGCCCGUCAAGUCACGAAAGUUGGUAAC
This 1321-nucleotide ribosomal RNA is filed under the name Paenarthrobacter sp. Its description in RNAcentral is "bacterial SSU rRNA". It matches the Rfam family "Bacterial small subunit ribosomal RNA", at positions 86 to 1418 of the family's 1533-position model. Lineage: Bacteria; Bacillati; Actinomycetota; Actinomycetes; Micrococcales; Micrococcaceae. The record is from RNAcentral.